ACUCAGGCACUCGAUCUGAUCGGACGCUUGAAUGAGAGGCGAGUAAAGGCUGGCCGUUUUCAAUGGCAUUUCAAUUUGGGACGAUUCCAGGAUCAUAUAUGGACCUGCGUGGUCGUCGAGGGGGCCUGUUCCGAACGAGCGGUGUCGUGCGUGAAGCUGCAAUUCAGAGAUUGCUCCAGGAUGGGCUUGGAACAAGUGGGCUCCGUUCCGUUCCAUGCAGAUCCAUCGCAGAUCAAGACGGAGCUUCCAAUUAAGUCAUGGCCUAAAUGUGAAAAAUAAGGGACGGUUAGUGGGGGUGAAUGGGUCAAAGCUUGUUUCCCUUACAAAUUCCAACCUACCAAUGUUACAAAAGAAGGUGGCCAUUGCUCUCCCGUGUUUAUAGAUUCGGUAUCCGUUAUCAGGAGACGGGACAUUGUCGCAGCCACGCUUCACACACACGGGAUUGCUUUUGGGAAACCACAUAUUAUCCAAGCAAAUGGCCACGGAGUAGUCGGACACCAGAGUGAACCGUCUCUUGCAUUUAUAACGAAUGGAACGCCCACCCUCGCGCACCUUGAUCCGUCCGUUUUUCAGGUUGGGGAGUGUGCAGUCCUGAGAAAAGCUCAUAACCUCUAAAACCUGCAGCAGCCCGUACACCAGAAGCACCAAUGUCCCUAAAUGAAAAGACAUUUUAUCACUUGACCCUAAACUUGAUCCCGUCACGAGCGCCUUAAGACCAGCUCUUUUCAAACGAUGACAUGAUGGCGGCACUAAAGGGGGUUUUCAAAUCAACUGCAUUAUUUUUUAUUCCUUUGUUGGGUGGUACGCGCUAUCACAGUUUGACUUGGCCAUCGUUGGCCUUUUCCUUCUGUUGGUUGCUCUUGAGCGAGCGAUAGGCCUGGAUGACGCGGACUCGCUCCUGGUUCAACAUAUGCUGGCGUGCCAAUGAGAUCUCGGGCUUAUCGCUCUUAAUCUUGCUCUUGAAUUUCUGGGCUAAUAACAAAGUGGAGUUUUUGUUCUUCUGGGCGGGGACGGGGGCAGGACUGGUGGAGGCUUCGUUCUCGGAGGUGGGCAUCUUUUUUUUCU
Long non-coding RNA from Tigriopus californicus, 1065 nucleotides. RefSeq lists it as uncharacterized. Lineage: Eukaryota; Metazoa; Arthropoda; Copepoda; Harpacticoida; Harpacticidae. The transcript is spliced from 2 exons. The record is from RefSeq and is a predicted model, not a curated record.